Molecule: transfer RNA, 71 nt
Filed under: Evansella caseinilytica
Lineage: Bacteria; Bacillati; Bacillota; Bacilli; Caryophanales; Bacillaceae
Rfam family: tRNA
About the family: Transfer RNA (tRNA) molecules are approximately 80 nucleotides in length. Their secondary structure includes four short double-helical elements and three loops (D, anti-codon, and T loops). Further hydrogen bonds mediate the characteristic L-shaped molecular structure. tRNAs have two regions of fundamental functional importance: the anti-codon, which is responsible for specific mRNA codon recognition, and the 3' end, to which the tRNAs corresponding amino acid is attached (by aminoacyl-tRNA synthetases). tRNAs cope with the degeneracy of the genetic code in two manners: having more than one tRNA (with a specific anti-codon) for a particular amino acid; and 'wobble' base-pairing, i.e. permitting non-standard base-pairing at the 3rd anti-codon position.
Source: Rfam by way of RNAcentral
GCGGGUGUAGUUCAAUGGUAGAAUACCGGCUUCCCAAGCCUGAGGCGGGGGUUCGAUUCCCCUCACCCGCU